GGUGGUUUGAUAUAAAGCUCUACACAAGAUCCUCUCCCAGUGACGAUUUAACAUUUGUGAUAGCUGUGCCAAUCGAGCUGUUAUGCUUUCUAUGCAAUGCAACACCACCGUGCUGAAGGCCAAAAGCUCUUCUAUAAUUGGCAAGGCCACAGAGGGGACAGCCGGUGCCACAAGAGGCGGCCUGGGAACGCGCCACAGAGGGGCCGCGCCCCAGCGUGCAGGCGCCCGGGCUCGAACCUGGGCGGGUGCGCUCCCCAGCUGGGAGUCGCACCAACCGAGCUGUUGUGCUUUCUAUGCAAUGCAACACCACCGUGCUGAAGGCCAAAAGCUCUUCUAUAAUUGGUCCUGCCCAUUUCUUUUCUUUUCUUUUCUUCUUUUUUUUCCCCACUUCAUUCCUAUUUACUUCAAUAGAUCUAAUUUAUAUAGCGUCCCUACUGCAAUACAAUAUGAACUGUGUUAUCCGAUGUGUAUAAUAUACCUCAGAAAAAAAAGUAGUCGCUUACAAACUAUAUAAAUAAAAAACCAUCUCCUCCUA
Molecule: long non-coding RNA, 535 nt
Organism: Panicum virgatum (switchgrass)
Lineage: Eukaryota; Viridiplantae; Streptophyta; Magnoliopsida; Poales; Poaceae
Exons: 2
Source: RefSeq, a predicted model, not a curated record